Molecule: non-coding RNA, 29 nt
Filed under: Mus musculus (house mouse)
Lineage: Eukaryota; Metazoa; Chordata; Mammalia; Rodentia; Muridae
Source: RNAcentral
UAAAUUUGGAAUGCAAUCCCUGUGACAUC